UCCUUGGUGGCUCAGAUGGUAAAGAACCUGCCUGCAAUGCAGGAGACCCAGGUUUGAUCCCUGGGUCGGGAA
Molecule: transfer RNA, 72 nt
Filed under: Bos taurus (domestic cattle)
Lineage: Eukaryota; Metazoa; Chordata; Mammalia; Artiodactyla; Bovidae
Also listed under: 3 other names
Rfam family: tRNA
About the family: Transfer RNA (tRNA) molecules are approximately 80 nucleotides in length. Their secondary structure includes four short double-helical elements and three loops (D, anti-codon, and T loops).
Source: Rfam by way of RNAcentral